UUUUAAAUCAUCGUGAAGAGU
Molecule: non-coding RNA, 21 nt
Organism: Caenorhabditis elegans
Lineage: Eukaryota; Metazoa; Nematoda; Chromadorea; Rhabditida; Rhabditidae
Source: Ensembl